This 519-nucleotide ribosomal RNA is filed under the name uncultured Bacteroidota bacterium. Its description in RNAcentral is "bacterial SSU rRNA". It matches the Rfam family "Bacterial small subunit ribosomal RNA", at positions 224 to 740 of the family's 1533-position model. The record is from RNAcentral. Lineage: Bacteria; Pseudomonadati; Bacteroidota.
GAUGAGCAUGCGUCCCAUUAGCUAGUUGGUAAGGUAACGGCUUACCAAGGCUACGAUGGGUAGGGGUCCUGAGAGGGAGAUCCCCCACACUGGUACUGAGACACGGACCAGACUCCUACGGGAGGCAGCAGUGAGGAAUAUUGGUCAAUGGGCGCAAGCCUGAACCAGCCAUGCCGCGUGCAGGAUGACGGUCCUAUGGAUUGUAAACUGCUUUUGUACAGGAAGAAACAACUCUACGUGUAGAGUCUUGACGGUACUGUAAGAAUAAGGAUCGGCUAACUCCGUGCCAGCAGCCGCGGUAAUACGGAGGAUCCAAGCGUUAUCCGGAAUCAUUGGGUUUAAAGGGUCCGUAGGCGGUUUAGUAAGUCAGUGGUGAAAGCCCAUCGCUCAACGGUGGAACGGCCAUUGAUACUGCUAGACUUGAAUUAUUAGGAAGUAACUAGAAUAUGUAGUGUAGCGGUGAAAUGCUUAGAGAUUACAUGGAAUACCAAUUGCGAAGGCAGGUUACUACUAAUGGAU